Molecule: ribosomal RNA, 492 nt
Filed under: uncultured bacterium
Lineage: Bacteria
Description: bacterial SSU rRNA
Rfam family: Bacterial small subunit ribosomal RNA
Source: RNAcentral
AUUGAACGCUGGCGGAAUGCUUUACACAUGCAAGUCGAGCGGCAGCGCGGGGGCAACCCUGGCGGCGAGCGGCGAACGGGUGAGUAACAUAUCGGAACGUACCCCGUCGUGGGGGAUAACACAGCGAAAGCUGUGCUAAUACCGCAUACGACCUGAGGGUGAAAGCGGGGGAUCGCAAGACCUCGCGCGAUGGGAGCGGCCGAUAUCGGAUUAGCUUGUUGGUGAGGUAAAGGCUCACCAAGGCGACGAUCCGUAGCUGGUCUGAGAGGACGACCAGCCACACUGGAACUGAGACACGGUCCAGACUCCUACGGGAGGCAGCAGUGGGGAAUUUUGGACAAUGGGGGCAACCCUGAUCCAGCCAUUCCGCGUGAGUGAAGAAGGCCUCGGUUGUAAAGCUCUUUCUAGCAGGAACGAAACGGUGGCCGACUAAUACUGGCUACUAAUGACGGUACCUGAAGAAGAAGACACCGGCUAACUACGUGCCAGCAG